Molecule: ribosomal RNA, 447 nt
Filed under: uncultured bacterium
Lineage: Bacteria
Description: bacterial SSU rRNA
Rfam family: Bacterial small subunit ribosomal RNA
Source: RNAcentral
UCGGGAAUUUUGGGCAAUGGGCGAAAGCCUGACCCAGCAACGCCGCGUGAAGGAUGAAGUAUUUCGGUAUGUAAACUUCGAAAGAAUAGGAAGAAUAAAUGACGGUACUAUUUAUAAGGUCCGGCUAACUACGUGCCAGCAGUCGCGGUAAUACGGAGGGAGCUAGCGUUGUUCGGAAUUACUGGGCGUAAAGCGUACGUAGGCGGUGACUCAAGUCAGAGGUGAAAGCCUGGAGCUCAACUCCAGAACUGCCUUUGAAACUAGGUCGCUAGAAUCACGGAGAGGUGAGUGGAAUUCCGAGUGUAGAGGUGAAAUUCGUAGAUAUUCGGAAGAACACCAGUGGCGAAGGCGGCUCACUGGACGUGUAUUGACGCUGAGGUACGAAAGCGUGGGGAGCAAACAGGAUUAGAUACCCCAGUAGUCCCUGAGCGGGCUGGCAAGGCGCAU